Small nuclear RNA from Bison bison bison, 104 nucleotides. NCBI's taxonomy places the organism in Eukaryota, Metazoa, Chordata, Mammalia, Artiodactyla, Bovidae. The record is from Ensembl.
GCACUUGCCUCUGCAGCACAUGCCCUAAAAUUGGAAUUAUGCAGAGGUGAGCAUGACCCCUGUGCAAGGGUGGCACGAACAUGUGUACUGCUUUCCAUAGUUUU